GGGGCUGUGGCUCAGUAGCAGAGCGCUUGCCUUGCACGUGUGAGGCCCUAGGUUCAAUCCUCAGCACCA
This 69-nucleotide transfer RNA is filed under the name Ictidomys tridecemlineatus (thirteen-lined ground squirrel). Its description in RNAcentral is "Spermophilus tridecemlineatus (thirteen-lined ground squirrel) tRNA". It matches the Rfam family "tRNA". From Rfam's summary of the family: Transfer RNA (tRNA) molecules are approximately 80 nucleotides in length. Their secondary structure includes four short double-helical elements and three loops (D, anti-codon, and T loops). The record is from Rfam by way of RNAcentral. Lineage: Eukaryota; Metazoa; Chordata; Mammalia; Rodentia; Sciuridae.